AAAAAGAUAAGCUAAUUAAGCUCUUGGGUUCAUACCUCAACUAUAAAGGUUUUAAUCCUUUUCUUUUUA
RNAcentral lists this transfer RNA (69 nucleotides) under Sabethes chloropterus. RNAcentral describes it as "tRNA-Met". It matches the Rfam family "tRNA". Rfam says of the family: Transfer RNA (tRNA) molecules are approximately 80 nucleotides in length. Their secondary structure includes four short double-helical elements and three loops (D, anti-codon, and T loops). The record is from RNAcentral. Lineage: Eukaryota; Metazoa; Arthropoda; Insecta; Diptera; Culicidae.